UGGGGAAUAUUGGACAAUGGGCGAAAGCCUGAUCCAGCCAUGCCGCGUGUGUGAAGAAGGUAUUCGGAUUGUACAGAUUCUUAAGUUGGGAGGAAGGGCAGUAAGCGAAUACCUUGCUGUUUUGACGUUACCGACAGAAUAAGCACCGGCUAACUCUGUGCCAGCAGCCGCGGUAUUACAGAGGGUGCAAGCGUUGAUCGGAAUUACUGGGCGUAAAGCGCGCGUAGGUGGUUCGUUAAGUUGAAUGUGAAAUCCCCGGGCUCAACCUGGGAACUGCAUCCAAAACUGGCGAGCUAGAGUAGGGCAGAGGGUGGUAGAAUUUCCUGUGUAGCGGUGAAGUGAGUAGAUAUAAGAAGGAACAACAGUAGCGAAGGCGACCACCUGGGCUCAUGCUGACAAUGAGGUGCGGAAGCGUGGGGAGCAAACAGG
Molecule: ribosomal RNA, 429 nt
Filed under: Pseudomonadota bacterium
Lineage: Bacteria; Pseudomonadati; Pseudomonadota
Description: Proteobacteria bacterium partial 16S ribosomal RNA
Rfam family: Bacterial small subunit ribosomal RNA
Source: RNAcentral